AAGACGGGAACUGCGGGGCCCUCGCCCGCCCCUCUGCUUCCCGCCCGCUCUCUCGGUGUCGUCUCAGCGUGUCCCCCUGCCCUUGCGGAAGUCAUUAAAACAUGAAACUUAAAGAGAACUAUCAUUGUCUUCAAAUUUAAGAUCUGGAAAAAAUAGAUGAAACACAUCUUUGAUAAAUUAUUUGGGGUAAAUGAAAAUCUGUAUGUGGCUUCAUCCACAGCUAUCAAAUGGCCAUCACAUGGGGUGCACUUGUGAUUUUUAAGAUGCCACAGCACUCGACUUGGUGCUAGGAAUCCGAACUCUGGUCCUCAUGAAUGUAUUUGUGUCCCUACCAGACUCUGGCAGAGGUCAAGAUGACAUCAAAGUUGGAAUUCAUCUGCCUCAGCCUUCCAAGUGAAGCAUGAAUUGAUGACUUGCCUCUGAAACCCUAAAUGAAGAAUGAUGACCGGGCCAGCUAAGUAUCCACCAGGCCAUCCAGGGCACUGACAAUCAUGAAGAAGUGCAAAUGCUGACUCCCACCUGGCUGCAGAGGAAUCAAAGCCCUUAGCUUUCUGGCCCCUCUCCAUUCCGGCAAGGUUCCUUCUCUUUCCACCCAAUCGCAGUCAUCAUUUAAAGAAGCCACUUCCCGUGUUUACAAAAGGUGCAUUUGGGUUAUCUCUACUUGAAUACCUGUUUUCACAUCUUCAAGCAAGAGGAAUCUUAUUGUUCCAGCAUGCUGGGGUUGCCCUGUACAUGAAGGAGAGAGAACGACCCCAUGCAGCCCGUUCGGCGAGUUUUAUACAGUUUUCAGAACAGCAGCCAUUAGGCACAAUGUGGUUGGCAGAACAGAGUGACUUUCAAGCUGAUUGGUCUUAGGGAAUGAGGUGGCAAGGACUUCCCUUGUCUGUAGGUGGCCAACAGUCUCGAAAUGUGUCUAUGUGCUCUGGGCCUCCUCCAUCCACAGGUGGCGAUGGUUGGUUCCUCACCCCUUCUGGAGGGGAGGGGUGCCUAUGUGCUUCUUGACCUUUCUCUAGGGAAGGGUCUGGUGGAAUUUUCCAAAGUUCCUGAGCUGACCUCUUCAGUGUAAACAGACCUAGUAUUGCUCUGUGUUGCAGUGACCCUGUACACACAGAUCUGGCUACCGACAGUAAUAUUAAACAUGGCACAUAACAAUACAUAGCACUUGACUGUUGUGUGUAAUUUUAUAAAACCACACUUGCUCCUUGCCCAGUGCUGUGGCUCCCUCUAUGCUAUGAGAUCAACCGCUGCCAACAGCCGUCUCACCCAACCCCCAUGGCUAGCUUUGCCAAACUGCUCCAUUUUCCAAGCUCUGCCAAGCCACCAGCUCUGCCACUUUCCCAUGGACUCUGGGAACUGCGAUCCCUCUUCACCGGCCAACCACCCUGAGGCUAGCUCUGCCAAACCUCUAACAACCACCCAGGCUGUGCCCUUUCUCCUGCCCACUUGAGUUACCACAGAUGGAAAACACUAGACAGCCUUAAUAUUUUAAAACCAGCCAGAUAACUCAACUGCUGGGUGCAGAGUCUGUUGCUCUAAAUGCAUCGGUUAUCCUAUCUGGGAAUUCCACUGAAGGCCGAGGCUGCCACUGGCUCUGGUUGCUCCCAGGCCAUAGUCCUAGUCUUUGCUCCCCGCUCCAAAGCCUGGCUGCAAAGCCCUUUCUCCAUCUCUUUCCUUCCUCUUCCUCCUGGGACCCAGAAGUCCCACCUUUUUUCCUCCGUCCAAUGAUUAGCUUCUGCUGUCUUUAUUGACAUAAUCAAGAAACAUUUAGUGAAAUUCCAGCACUUGGGAGGCAAAGGCAGGCAGAUUUCUGAGUUUGAGGCCAGCCUGGUCUACAGAGUGAGUUCCAGGACAGCCAGGGCUACACAGAGAAACCCUGUCUCGAAAAACAAAAACAAAAACAAAAACAAAAAAGAAGAAACAUUUAGUGAACCAGAUUUUAGUGUCAGCUCCUCCCCUACACUUGACAAUAAUAACAGACAAUUUUGUUGCUGGCUUAUCUGUUUAAUAUGCCAUGCUUUUGUUUGUUUGUUUAUUUUGUUUUUAUUUUGUUUUUGUUUUUCAAGACAGGGCUUCUAUGUAUAGCCCUGGCUGUCCUGAAACUUACUUUGUAGACCAGGCUGGCCUCGAACUCAGAAAUCCGCCUGCCUCUGCCUCCCAAGUGCUGGGAUUAAAGGCGUACGCCACCACUGCCUGGCACUGUGCCAUGCUUUUGUUGUUAUUUUGAGAUGUAUGAAUGUUAGCUGAAUAUUGUUACUGGUUUAUGUAUCUACUAUUCUAUACUUUUUCUCACUCAGCUAUACUAAUUUAAGACAUUUAUUCUCAAACAGGAUGCUGUGUCCUGCAGCAUCCUCCUAGCUUGCAUUUGGUGUUCCUCCUGAUGGCAACAGGGGCCACGAGGAGUGACCAGCAUAUGUGAUCAAUGUAUGUAAAUGCAGCCUGGAGAAUGCAUAACAAGGGAACUGCCCUGGUGUAUGCUUCAUGGCUGCCUGUGAUUAAGUCAUACACGACUAGCUGACAGAAUGAGUCCUGGACAGGUCAGAGGAGGGAGCACUCCCAGAACCCGGAAAGGGGAGCACUCCCAGAACCCAGGAAGGGGAGCAGUAGCCAGCUGCUAGUCUGACAGGAGCCCACGACCAUCUGCCAGAGAGGAACAGCAUUCCCAGACACUGGUGCUGCUCCUGCAGCCUCCUCCCCUCCCUCUCCCAGCUCCUCCUAGCACCUCCUUCCACUUGAUACCAAUUGGAAGGGAAUCUGUUUGUACAGUCCGUGUGAGUCAGCCUUCCAAGGCUCACAGUGGGAUGAGAAACUCCCCCUCGGAGCUGGGGAGAUGCUCAGUGAAUCUGAGCACCCUUGUAAAAGUCAGACAUGGCCACAUGUGCCUAUAACCCCUGGGGACACAGACAGGCAGAUCCCAGGUCUUAGGUCCUGUGAGAGAAUCUGCUCCCAAUAAGCAGCAGGCAGGUAGUCUCAGCGUGACGUCCGAGCUGUAGAUGAGGCAGCGGACACACAGCUUGACAGUUUCCAUACAGACAGCAUCUGAAAUGGGGGUCCUUGGGGUUUCCAUCAGGAAGCAAAUAACCACGUCUAAUCAGCACUUAACAGUGUGUAAACAGCACUUCCAACCAACUGAAAGCUGCCAAGCGAUUUGUUCUCUUACGCAGUUUAUGCUUUCUCUGCUAUUCACUCAGCAAACAAAGAUAACACAGUGAUAACACUUGCUUUCCACUGUUCUCAAUUCAUUAUCUUCUCGAUCCAACUGAAUCUCAAUGAUACAAUUGAAUUAAAAGUCUUGUUUGCUUUCAGCAUGUCAAGUAACCUAUGAAAUGAUUUGAAACAAGUAAAUUUGUUUGUUUUCAUUCGCUGAAGAUACCGUAACAGAAUACCUCACAUGGAAAUACUUUAAAAAAAAAAAAUGUAUGUUUUCCCAUGGUUUUGGAGACCAGAAGUCCAGGAUCAAGAGGAAGGCUGCCCCUUCCCUCUGAAGGUGCAGAAGAUAAUGAGCUCCUUUGGCCUGAGGUGACACCUCUGAGGUGACACCCCUGGCUUGGAGCAGCAUGACUCCAAUCUGUACACAGCUCUCUGUAUGCAUGUUAUCUCAUCUUUUAUAGGAACUCCAGUCAUAGUGAACUAUGGCAUGUGAUGGCAAAUUCAUGGACCAGCCCCACUCCAUUUAAGAUUAAAAGCCAUCUUGUUACAAGUUCAUUUCUGUUUUCUGUAGAAUUUGGAUUUGGAUAGGUCUUGACCCAUAUUCUGGAGUUUGACAUGCUCCACCCUGAUACCCUGACCGCCACCCUGAUAAGAUGUUCUGUCAAAUAACUUUGCAAUGUUCUGCCGAGGUUCUAUGUACCCCAAAACCUUAAAAAACUCCCUAGCAUUGCAGUUUGGGGGACUAUAUCAGCUCCACUUUUUCCUAUGCUCAAUGUUAUUUUUCUCAAACCCCACUUUAGGGAGAUAGGCCUGUCUGACAGAAAAUAAAACUGUGUUUAUCUUGACAAAGG
Mus musculus (house mouse) is the source of this 3998-nucleotide long non-coding RNA. RefSeq annotates it as predicted gene, 26766. The transcript has 6 exons. NCBI's taxonomy places the organism in Eukaryota, Metazoa, Chordata, Mammalia, Rodentia, Muridae. The record is from RefSeq and is marked validated.